UCUAGCUGUUUCCUAAUACUUGCUGCAAGUUCUCUCUGUCUGCUCAGCUCUGGUAAGGAGAAGUGGUGUCUGCCUUCAGGAACGGCAGAGUAACUCCCUCACUGGCAUUGAAGAUCGCUGGCCACAGGGAUGAUGGUGUCAGCCAACAGCACCUGCUCACUGUCAUGCUGCGUGCAGCCUCCUGUCUGUGCCCACGAGGUCUGAGGAGGCUGAAGAACUGGGACAAAACCCUUGCUCAACAGGAACUGCUGUUAGCUCUCAUGAGAAGACCUUCAGCUAGAAGAGGAUGAGACAGGGAAUAAGAAGGAGCAGCACAAAAAGGACAAAAAUCCAUCUGCUGUUCUAGAAAAGAUGAUAAAAGAAAAUCAAAUUCUAAGAAAAGAAGAUGCACCAUUGAAACAGAUGGUCCUGGCAGCAUUCAGUUUGGGGCAUUGUCAGAUAGAUGCCCAAGGAAGGCAAUGGGAAGUCUGUGCCUCCAGCGCGCUGGUAAGUGGUAGACCCGCUCUUGCUCUGGUGAGAUGAGGUGAGCAUGAGGACCUGAAGAAGCUGUGAGCAUCCUUUUGACUAGCAAACCCUGUAGCAGCCCCUAAACAUUUGGGUGUGGUGCCUCAGUACAGCUACAAUUCGGGGGUGUGCCAUUGGUGAGAUGCCAUUCUUCCGGUGCAACGAACAUCUCUGCUCAGUACCUGCUGGGUACAGCCUGCCGCUGGGGCACGGAAAGGCAACAAACCCCUUCCCUCUAAUUAGGGACACCUACAGAAGACUCUCUACUUUAAUUUUCAAGCAAGUUGCUAGUUAAUUCUGUUGAGAAUUAACAGAAUUGAUAUUUUCAUUAAAAAAAGAAAAAAGAAAAGUUUGAGUUCCUCACGGCUGUGGUUUGGCUGGCUUUUGGAGGAAGGAGAGACUGUAUAAAAAGCUUCACAGAUUUUUUUUUAUUCUUAAGGGCUGUGGCAGGGAAGAGGACAGCCCCACUCAGACUGCUCUUAAGGUAUUAGAGCUGUCAUCAGGUCUUCACUCUCGAAAGGCCAUUCAAGUGACA
Molecule: long non-coding RNA, 1039 nt
Filed under: Struthio camelus australis
Lineage: Eukaryota; Metazoa; Chordata; Aves; Struthioniformes; Struthionidae
Description: lncRNA (ENSSCUG00000007370.1)
Source: RNAcentral